Molecule: ribosomal RNA, 755 nt
Filed under: Bacillus cereus
Lineage: Bacteria; Bacillati; Bacillota; Bacilli; Caryophanales; Bacillaceae
Also listed under: 1 other name
Description: bacterial SSU rRNA
Rfam family: Bacterial small subunit ribosomal RNA
Source: RNAcentral
UAAUACAUGCAAGUCGAGCGAAUGGAUUAAGAGCUUGCUCUUAUGAAGUUAGCGGCGGACGGGUGAGUAACACGUGGGUAACCUGCCCAUAAGACUGGGAUAACUCCGGGAAACCGGGGCUAAUACCGGAUAACAUUUUGAACCGCAUGGUUCGAAAUUGAAAGGCGGCUUCGGCUGUCACUUAUGGAUGGACCCGCGUCGCAUUAGCUAGUUGGUGAGGUAACGGCUCACCAAGGCAACGAUGCGUAGCCGACCUGAGAGGGUGAUCGGCCACACUGGGACUGAGACACGGCCCAGACUCCUACGGGAGGCAGCAGUAGGGAAUCUUCCGCAAUGGACGAAAGUCUGACGGAGCAACGCCGCGUGAGUGAUGAAGGCUUUCGGGUCGUAAAACUCUGUUGUUAGGGAAGAACAAGUGCUAGUUGAAUAAGCUGGCACCUUGACGGUACCUAACCAGAAAGCCACGGCUAACUACGUGCCAGCAGCCGCGGUAAUACGUAGGUGGCAAGCGUUAUCCGGAAUUAUUGGGCGUAAAGCGCGCGCAGGUGGUUUCUUAAGUCUGAUGUGAAAGCCCACGGCUCAACCGUGGAGGGUCAUUGGAAACUGGGAGACUUGAGUGCAGAAGAGGAAAGUGGAAUUCCAUGUGUAGCGGUGAAAUGCGUAGAGAUAUGGAGGAACACCAGUGGCGAAGGCGACUUUCUGGUCUGUAACUGACACUGAGGCGCGAAAGCGUGGGGAGCAAACAGGAUUAGAUA